RNAcentral lists this microRNA precursor (103 nucleotides) under Marmota monax (woodchuck). Lineage: Eukaryota; Metazoa; Chordata; Mammalia; Rodentia; Sciuridae. The record is from RNAcentral.
AAAAAAAUUGCUGGGUCAUAUGGUAACUCUAUAUUUAACUUUCUGAGAAACUGCCAAAUAGUUUUGCAAAGCAGCUGUACCAUUUUACAUUCUCAUCAACAAU